GACAGCGUGCCCGAGCGGUUAAGGGGAUUGACUCGAAAUCAAUUAGGCUGUGCCUGCACAGGUUCGAAUCCUGUCGCUGUCG
This is a transfer RNA of Catenaria anguillulae PL171, 82 nucleotides long. It matches the Rfam family "tRNA". Rfam says of the family: Transfer RNA (tRNA) molecules are approximately 80 nucleotides in length. Their secondary structure includes four short double-helical elements and three loops (D, anti-codon, and T loops). Further hydrogen bonds mediate the characteristic L-shaped molecular structure. tRNAs have two regions of fundamental functional importance: the anti-codon, which is responsible for specific mRNA codon recognition, and the 3' end, to which the tRNAs corresponding amino acid is attached (by aminoacyl-tRNA synthetases). tRNAs cope with the degeneracy of the genetic code in two manners: having more than one tRNA (with a specific anti-codon) for a particular amino acid; and 'wobble' base-pairing, i.e. permitting non-standard base-pairing at the 3rd anti-codon position. The record is from Rfam. Lineage: Eukaryota; Fungi; Blastocladiomycota; Blastocladiomycetes; Blastocladiales; Catenariaceae.